This 253-nucleotide ribosomal RNA is filed under the name uncultured bacterium. RNAcentral's name for it is "partial 16S ribosomal RNA". It matches the Rfam family "Bacterial small subunit ribosomal RNA", at positions 524 to 776 of the family's 1533-position model. The record is from RNAcentral.
GACAGAGGGUGCAAACGUUGCUCGGAUUUACUGGGCGUAAAGCGCAAGUAGGCGGUCUUGUAAGUCGGGUGUGAAAACCCAGGGCUCAACCCUGGCAGUGCACACGAUACUGCUUGACUGGGGUACUGAAGAGGAGAGCGGAAUUCUCGGUGUAGAGGUGAAAUUCGUAGAUAUCGGGAGGAACACCAGUGGCGAAGGCGGCUCUCUGGGCAGAUACCGACGCUGAGAUGCGAAAGCGUGGGAAGCAAACAGG